RNAcentral lists this ribosomal RNA (468 nucleotides) under uncultured bacterium. RNAcentral's name for it is "partial 16S ribosomal RNA". It matches the Rfam family "Bacterial small subunit ribosomal RNA", at positions 28 to 507 of the family's 1533-position model. The record is from RNAcentral.
GACGAACGCUGGCGGCGUGCCUAACACAUGCAAGUCGAACGAACAGGCCCGGCUCUUGUGGCUUUCUCGUUAGGGGCACGCGGGUGAGACACGUGUGUAUCCUGCCCCUGUCUUUCGGGUAUCUUUAGGGAACACCGGCGCAUACCCCAUAGAAUCUCUUGCACCGCGUGGGGCGUUGGUAAGAUUCGGCUGUUGGGGAUGUAAUCGAGGCUUAUCAGCUUGUUGGUGGGGUAGUGGCUUACGAAGGCUUUGACGGGUAGCCUGCCUGAGAGGGUGGACGGGCACAAUGGGACUGCGGGACGGCGCAGACUGCUACGGGAGGCAGCAGUGGGGAAUAUUGCACAAUGGGCGGGAGCGUGAUGUAGCGGCGCUGGGUGCGGGAUGACGUCCUUCUGGUUGUGAACAGAUUUCGCCUGUGACGAAGAGUGAGUGACGGUAAUGGGUAAAGAAGCACCGGCUAACUACGUG